GACGAACGCUGGCGGCGUGCUUAACACAUGCAAGUCGAACGGAAAGGCCCUGCUUUUGUGGGGUGCUCGAGUGGCGAACGGGUGAGUAACACGUGAGUAACCUCCCCUUGACUUUGGGAUAACUUCAGGAAACUGGGGCUAAUACCGGAUAGGAGCUCCUGCUGCAUGGUGGGGGUUGGAAAGUUUCGGCGGUUGGGGAUGGACUCGCGGCUUAUCAGCUUGUUGGUGGGGUAGUGGCUUACCGAGGCUUUGACGGGUAGCCGGCCUGAGAGGGUGACCGGCCACAUUGGGACUGAGAUACGGCCCAGACUCCUACGGGAGGCAGCAGUGGGGAAUAUUGCACAAUGGGCGGAAGCCUGAUGCAGCAACGCCGCGUGCGGGAUGACGGCCUUCGGGUUGUAAACCGCUUUCGCCUGUGACGAAGCGUGAGUGACGGUAAUGGGUAAAGAAGCACCGGCUAACUACGUG
Molecule: ribosomal RNA, 468 nt
Filed under: uncultured bacterium
Lineage: Bacteria
Description: partial 16S ribosomal RNA
Rfam family: Bacterial small subunit ribosomal RNA
Source: RNAcentral